This 329-nucleotide ribosomal RNA is filed under the name uncultured eukaryote. RNAcentral's name for it is "partial 18S ribosomal RNA". It matches the Rfam family "Eukaryotic small subunit ribosomal RNA", at positions 1470 to 1796 of the family's 1831-position model. The record is from RNAcentral.
CCCUUAGAUGUUCUGGGCCGCACGCGCGCUACACUGAUGCAUUCAACGAGUCUAAAACCUGCUCUGAUAGGGGUGGGUAAUCUUUUGAAUGUGCAUCGUGAUUGGGAUAGAUGAUUGCAAUUUUUCAUCUUCAACGAGGAAUGCCUAGUAAACGCAAGUCAUCAGCUUGCAUUGAUUACGUCCCUGCCCUUUGUACACACCGCCCGUCGCUCCUACCGAUUGAAUGAUCCGAUGAAUAUCAUGGAUUGAGGAUGCAAGUAGGUUAGCCUAUCUUCAUCUUCGAGAAGUGAAGUAAAUCUUAUCAUUUAGAGAAAGGAGAAGUCGUAACA